ACCGCUGCAUUUUUUUGCGGGGAACCGCUGCAACUCGGCAAGUCGAAUGACCUCGCCGCUGUUUCAAGCGGAGCCAAUCAGCGGCAAGCCUGCUGGUGGUGGUGGCAAGCUAACGACGACGCUCGAUGUUGCAAAGAGGUGAACCAUCGAUGCUUCAUGGCAGAGCCGUCAUGGUGCCUCAAAGGACCAGGCGCUUCAAUGCAGCGAGGGCGUUGCCGACCAGUGUUGUAGAGCAUCG
This 238-nucleotide long non-coding RNA is filed under the name Hordeum vulgare. RNAcentral describes it as "long non-coding RNA (HVUL_LNC017954)". Lineage: Eukaryota; Viridiplantae; Streptophyta; Magnoliopsida; Poales; Poaceae. The record is from RNAcentral.